RNAcentral lists this long non-coding RNA (3918 nucleotides) under Mytilus galloprovincialis (Mediterranean mussel). The record is from RNAcentral. Lineage: Eukaryota; Metazoa; Mollusca; Bivalvia; Mytilida; Mytilidae.
CUUUGAAACUUAUAUUCCAUAAUGUGUAAUUUAUUAUGUUUCAUCUUUCAAUAAUACAAUAUUAUAAACAUAUGUUAUACAUAGUUAAUUAUUGAUAAAUCGUCUCAUAUCAUAUACUUAAAAAAAAAUAUAAUCAUAAUCAAAAUCAAAAUGACACUUUAACAAAAUUACAUAUAUGCAAAAACUUUGAGAGUUAAUGAUGCAUGACUAAUGGAGAUUUUUCUAAAUAAUCUUCAAAAAAAUGCUAAUUCAACUGUCUGCUUAAUAUCAUUGACAGCUACCAAUAGGGGUUUCACUGUAAGACCUUAUACCAUAAGCUUUAACAAUUAUGUUGACAUAUUUGUAGAAUUUUAUUUGCAGAUUAUUUUUUUUAUAGGAAACAUAAAAUUGAGAAUGGAAAUGGGGAAUGUGCCAAAGAGACAACAACCCGACCAUAGAAAAAAACAACAGCAGAAGGUCACCAACAGGUCUUCAAUGUAGCGAGAAAUUCCCGCACCCGGAGGCGUCCUUCAACUGGCCCCUAAACAAAUAUAUACUAGUUCAGUGAUAAUGAACGCCAUACUAAUUUCCAAAUUGUACACAAGAAACUAAAAUUAAAAUAAUACAAGACUAACAAAGGCCAGAGGCUCCUGACUUGGGACAGGCGCAAAAAUGCGGCAAAAGUUUGUCUUUAUCUAUUAUACUUCCAAGAAAAUUGCAAAGAACACAAAAAAUGUCAUAAAAGUGCAAUAAUUACCCCAAAAGAAGGUGAUAGACAACCUGGUUAUGUUACCUAUUUUUGCUGGUCAUUUUUGUUGUUUCCUUUUCACUCCAUGUAUUCUAGAUUUUAAGAUAAUUGCCAAAAAUGGAAGAAAAAAAACCACUAUCUAAAGCCAAUAAUAAUCAUAUAUUAAAGUAGUUGAUUCUAUCUAUUAAACUUUCAAGAAAAUAAAACGAUAAUAAAGACAAAAACACCCAUCAAUUACAUCAUGGUAAGAGUUUAGUCUGGGCAACAUGCUUUCUGUCAGGUUGAUUCUCAAUAUGAUUCUGCUUAGAAAAAGUUGAAAUUGGUCUAGUAGUUUGAAAGAAAAUGACUUUAUAGUGGACUUGAGAUUUUCUUGAUAACCUUGGUACAAUAAACAUUUACAUAAUUAGUAAAAUGAAAAUAUUAUAGAGCUAUAGGUAGUUUGAAUACAAAAUAUGAUCAUAGAACAAUGCAUCCAUGUAUUAGAUAAGAUAUUAGGUAAAAGAUGUUGAAAGAGUAGCUAGUUAACUUUACCAGGCUGUUUUAUAGUUUAAAAGCCAAAUUAGAGGCUCUAAAGAGUUUGUUUUGCUCAAAAGAUAGAGCAUAUAAAUCAUGAUCAAUAUAUCUUUUAUGAUGAUCUAGUAUUGCUUGAGGCUUUUUUGAGGCUAACAAUUUCUCUCUAAAUACUUUUUUUUUUAUAUUUUAUAAAAAAAGGAGGUAAAACUGAGGGUAAAAAACAACAUGCAAGGGCAACAACUUCUUCAGGAGUCUUUUUAUGGUUUGGUCAUAUUGGCAUUUUAACCAUUUUGGAAUAUCUUCUACAUGUAUUGCUCAUCUUUUACACUGUUUACAAUUUCUAUUUAUGAAUAAUACUUUUACCAGAUAAAUUGCAAAAAACAUUUAAGGCCAGGUGAGCUAAAAAUUGAGAAAGGUUUUAUAAAUUAAUAUAAGAAAUUACAGAAACAAUUGAAUAUAAUCACAUAAAAUUAGUUGAUAAUUAAGGAAAACUGAAAGUAUGCUAGCAAAAAGAUAAAUAAGAAAUAUUAAAAUCAAUCCCCAAUAAAAAUAAUAUGGCAACAGGAAGAACCAUCUAAAUAAACAAAAUAAUCAAAGCUACAAUAUAACAUAGAGAUACUGUGAUACCCAGUACCCUUAAAACUAAUUUAACAAACAGUGUAUUUGAAGAAAUUCAAAAUAAAGAUAUGGGGAAUAUAUCAGCAACAGAAAAAACCUUAACCAUAUUAGACACCUAAUGGGCAACAUACUGUCUUGAACAAUAGACAAGUGUCUUUACAAUAUGUCAGCUGUAGAUCAUCUAAAGUCCAUAAAACUAAAGAGUAUAGAAUGGUAAAAUUAUGGAAAUAAUUCCUCAUGAACUUACUGUUUCAAACAAAUAAAAGAUUUACUUAUAGCAAGACUUUUGUUAAAUAUGUUCUUCAGUUGUGUGUAAUUAAAAAGUAAAAUUCUUAAUCAUCAAAAUAUUUCUGAAUCUUUCUUUUUUGGUCCUGUUUAAUGUGUCACUUUAACAAGUGAGGCUGAUUCCAUUAGUAGUUAAACUCUUUUAGGACACCUGAACAAAUUAAAUGAUGUGGCAUUGUAUAAGAGCUACAUUGAAACCUAAUUUCUUUACAGAAAUCACAGGUAGCAAACUAUCACAAAAAUGUAUUUCAAAUAUUUUAUAAAAAUCUAAACAAUUACAAAGGUUUGACCUACAUCAGUAAACAAUAAUGUUUAGAAAAACAUUUGCACAAUAUAAACCAGCCUAUUAAAUGCCAUUAGGCCACGGUUUUUUCAUUUGUUGGUUUACGGAUUUUCCCCAUGAAAAAGUCGGGUCGGUCGGUCGGGAAAAAAAAAAGAAAAAAAAAAUCAUCUUUGAAGACAGAAAAAUAUGCAAAAUCAAUAUAUAUUUCACCUUUCUAACAAUAUGUUUGUUAUGCCAUUUUAUCAUCAUUUCUUAAAUUUUAGUUCAAUGAAAUAUUAUUGCUCAGCUGUUAUAAACAUCGCAUGACAUUGUCUAAUAAGUUACAGUAAAAAAAAAAAGGGGGUGCACGGACAAAGAUGAAAUUAAAUCGUCAUUUCAGAAACAAGAAAAAUAGAUUCGCGUAGCUCUUAAUCAAUUCCAGAAAACUUGGUGAAUAAUGAUCUUCAAGCACGAAAACUGAUAAAGAAAAAAAAAUGUAAAAACGUCGUACGAAAAUAAGUUUCAACACACGUGUCAAAAACCUAAUAGACUCGUCCAUUGGAAAAACGAGAUUAUCGGGUCAAUCUCUUGUCUUGCAUUCCCGUUUUUUAUCCAAAUGGACGAUAAUUUUUUUUAUUAUCUAUGAAACAAGAAAAUUCCAAAUGAUUUGUUAAUAUUCAAUACUUCAACUUGAUGCCUUCAACCUAUCCACAUUUGGACAAGUCUAUUUCUAUGAGAUGAUGCAUCUUACGGACUGAUGACAAAUAAGGGAAACGAACUUAUUGUGUAAUUGGUUUUAAACACAAGUUUCGUUCCGCAAAAUUAUUUGUGCAAACGACAUUUCAAGGUCAGUUAUUAUGAUAAUUGAUUUGUCUAUAUUUAAAAACGUAAACUGGAAGUUUUAUUUUUUCACAACAGCAAGUGUUAUCAAUUUUGUUAGUGAUUAAUGCAUUUCAUUUCAUAAAAAAAAAUUAUUUUAAUUAUUUUUCAGGGAUAAUGCAUUUCUUAGGGUCGGCGGGAAUAAAAAAGCAUGAAAAGUCAAUUUUAUUUUUAUUCUGGAAAUCGGCAAAAUCGGGUCGGCGGAUCCGUAAACCAACAAAUUAAAAAAUCCUGGCCUUACUGCCUUUCAAUUGUAGACAUUAAAAACUAGAGGCUCUAAAGAGCCUGUGUCGCUCACCUUGGUCUUUAUGAAUAUUAAACAAAGGAAGAGGAUGGAUUCAUGACAAAAUUGUGUUUUGGUGAUGGUGAUGUGUUUGUACAUCUUACUUUACUGAUCAUUCUUGCUGCUGAAAAUUAUCUCUAUCUAUAAUGAACUUGGCCCAAUAGUUUCAGUGAAAAAUGUUAGAAAAAAUUUACAAAUUUUAUGAAAAUUGUUAAAAUUUGACUAUAAAGGACAAUAACUCCAUAGGGGGUCAAUUGACCAUUUCAGUCACGUUGACUUAUUUGUAAAUCUUACUUUGCUGAACAUUAUUGCUGUUUACAGUUUAUCUCUAUCUAUAAUAGUAUUCAAGAU